Styela clava is the source of this 509-nucleotide non-coding RNA. NCBI's taxonomy places the organism in Eukaryota, Metazoa, Chordata, Ascidiacea, Stolidobranchia, Styelidae. The record is from RefSeq and is a predicted model, not a curated record.
UUUAGAUGCAGAAGCAUGAAAUAUGGAGUUAAAAGGAAAUAGACGAAAUUGAGGAAAUCUACGAUACAGGUGGAAAUAGCGAGAAGAAAUGGAAGUAAAGGGUUCACUUGCAGAUUGCAUAAUAAGAACACUGCUUGUUUCGACAGUUUUUCAUUGCAUCAAAAGAUAAAGAUCGAAAAUACGAAUAAGCAAACAAAACCAAAGAAUAAUCAACUUUCUGAAAACACUGCUUGAAAGUUGGCGAGGCAAUUUAUCAUUGCAUUAAAAAAUGCGACAAUGCCAAAGGUCUGGCAUUGCAUCACCAAGUGAGCUGGGAGCCUAUCCAAAGAGGCAAGUUUCCUCACUUAUGGAAAUGGAAUCUUGACGACAUUCUCUGUGCACAGAAAAAAAAUAAAAGUUUUAAAUACAUCAAGUAUUCAAAUAUAAAUGUGAGUUUCAUCAAAGAUAACUAAGAUUGGCUCAUGAAAGAAAUGCAUUGAACAACACUUAAGUGAAAAAGACUUUUAAUA